Molecule: long non-coding RNA, 6658 nt
Filed under: Zea mays
Lineage: Eukaryota; Viridiplantae; Streptophyta; Magnoliopsida; Poales; Poaceae
Description: long non-coding RNA (ZMAY_LNC000148)
Source: RNAcentral
CAUGCAAAAAUUGCACAUGAAGCUACUUCCAAUGUGGACUUCCGAAAUCCUUAAGGCAGCCAGUCCCAGCAUCUGGACAAACUACACUUUCCCUCCCAAUUUUUACUCAAAGUAUUACUAUUACAACCCAAUAGCAGCAGUUAGGUAAAUACCCAAUGAUCCUGUGAAUUUUAAGUGAUAUUACAAUUGUACUGUAUCAAUGUAUGGUUGAGUCAGGCAUGGUGAAGCAUUAACAGAUGAACAAAGCAACACCAAUUCGAAUUAUCAAAUAGCACUACGAAGAAAACGCACUGUUCAUCCCCACUAAACUAAAUCCAGCACAGCCACAGGGUUUGAAGCUUCAUGAGCAGUCUGCAAACGCACCUGAUAUAUGACACCAUCAGGGAGUAGAUUCAUGAUAACUUCUCUGCAUACAAGCCAAAUGGUGGUAGAUAUUUAGGGGACGACAACACAAUAUGAAUUUUGAAAAUGGCACUUGUGGCUGAGAACGGGAGCUUACGACGAGGAGAGGGUGGUGGUGGUGAAAAGCACGGGGAGGCCUGGACGGAGGCGGACACAGUGGCGAACAACGGGAAGCGCGACCAUUCCCUCGCCAAGGGAUACGGCAUGAAACCACACGAGCGUGAUGAGCGGGACGAGGCAGAGGUAAUUGUCGAUCUCGCUCUGCGCCUUGCGGAACUGGUAGAUGAUGUUCCAGCCCAUGGCGAGGAGGUAGAGGUAGGAGUGGUCCUGGCAGGAGUUGACGAGCAGGUAGCCCCGGCGGAGCGCGUCCUCGAGCUGCUCCAGCGGCUCCGGCGUCUCUGGGUACUUCCUGAGCUCCGACACGCGGAGCUGCUCCAGCAGGCCGCCGAUGAGCUUGAGGUGCUGCGCGAAGCGGCGGCAGUUGCGCUUGUGCAGCCGCGCCGUGGACGCCGCCCUAACGAUGAGGGAGAUGAGCUUGACGGCGUCCAGCCCCGUGAGCUGCGCGAUGUUGGAGAGCUCUCCGAGGUUGUCCCACGACGCCAUUGCGACCUCGGCUCAGCUCCCGAGUCAAGCAAUCACCCGAUCUCUGUUUCCGUCCUCUGCUAACCGACGGAACGGACGGGAAGCCUUUGGGCCGGGCCGCGUGAAAGGCAUCCGAGAUCAGAGAGCCCUACCUACCACCGGCACCGGGCAUGGUGCUUCUCCCCCUCGGCCAUAGCCAUGCUUCGAGCUUCUGCUCGAACCUACGCCCUCAGCUCCAGAAUUCCCGGUGAACAGGGCGCGGCUGAGCAGAUCUGCGAGAGCGAGAAUAAAUCUGCAGAUGGCGGUGUGGGGGCGUGACAUGCGGGGGAGCAAGCGUGGAGCCGCGGUUGCGUUUUGACGCUGCGUGAGCGCGAAAUGCGGGCAGGCGGUUCGCGGAGCUAGAGGAGCGGCGGGCGAUUCGCGGUAGAUUGAGGAGCGGCUCCGCAGGCGGGUUCCGCGGUAGGGGAGGUGCGGGAUUUGUGGUGAUUGAGGUGUGGGUGGGAUUCGCCAUGGGGGAGGCGCGGGAUUCGCGGUGCUUGAAGCACGACAUCGUGGAGCUUGAGGAGCGGCGGGCGAUGGCCGGUUUCGCGAGGGUGUGCGGGUGAGCUGGUUUCGCGGCGGGGAGGCGAAGCCACGGGUGGGAUUCGCAUGCGGGGCGGGGGCAGUCUACACUGCCCCCUUAAUAGUUAGUACAACAUCGCAACACAACGGUCCGACAUAUAGCAAUAAAAGGCAACAGUCAAAGACAUUUUCUGAAAACAAUGUUGAUGCACUAAACACUUUUGAAAAAAAAGAAUGAAGGUAGUAAAUGAAAGGCAUAAACGUUGAGCAAUUAGAUCCUGAACAGAAAAGAAUAUCAGUAAUGACUGGCUUUUUUCAUGAGAAUGCUAGUCUUCACCUUUGAUUGGGGUGAAAUACUUAUUCUCCAUUGUCUCCUUGUCGUUGCACUCUAGCUUCUCCAAUUACCAGUCAUACGAUCUACAAAUCACCAAUCAAAUCCCAUUCUUACAAAUGCAAACCUUUCCUGAAGCACAAUGAAAUGCAAUUUUAAAUGCUAAUAGCACAAGGAAUCUUUCUAAAAUAAGAUAAGUUGCUCAUAUUAUAGGGUAAAUCUAUUGAAUGACUCCCCUCUGAAAAGCAAAAACCUGAUUUUUUUUCAUACAACAUGUGGUUUUUUAUGAAAUAUUUGUAGGUGUGGCAUCCCUGUGCAUUGCUACGGAGUAAACAUGUUAUAAUAAAAUAUAUUGAAACUCAAAAAUGCAAAUUGCCAUGAACACGACAACACAGUCAAUUUCAGGAACGAGCACAAAUCUUUAGGUGAGAAACAUCACAAAUAAGACAAAAGAAAGCAUGAAGCAUGUUUCUCGUCUCACUUUCAUUUAAAUUCAAUUCAGAUUUGAAGAUAGAAACUUGAACUCUACAAGAAGAAUGAGUGAAUGACCAGACACAAUCAUUUUUUAGGAGACAAAAACAGAAGCAAAAACAUAUUUAGAGAUCUCGAUAGUGCCAUAAUGGCAAGAUAUUGUGCAUGAACAGUCUCCAGAACACGAAUUUGUUGCUUUGAUUUCUCUAUCAAUAAUUUCCUUGCAACAUGAUGCAAAUCUCAAAGUUGGCCUACCAACCCGUUCCUGUACUACAAGCUACCAGCCUACUGCAUCAUUCAUCCGUACAGUAUUAUUUCAGGACCAGACCAUAUAUGAAAAACCAAAAAGACAUGCCAAAUUACAAGAAUUCAUGCUAACAAGAAAAGGAGCGAUCAGAAUCCACAAAAUCAUACCAUAGCAUUUGUAUUUAUUAUAUAGUGGUUUCCAAGCAACAAAUUGAAUUAUUGAAUGAACCCGUAAAAGAGAGUAAUUUUGCGCAAAUAAAAAUCCAUGGAUGCUGCUACAAAGGGGGAACAAAAAUCUCUACACAGUAACUCCAUCCUCAUUUGAUCUUGCUCUAUUUCAGUGCAUCUUGGGAACACAAUCAGCACCACAGAUGACUGAAUUAGUGAUAACCAGGGGGCAGACUGGAGCAUGGUGUACCGUGAGCUAAUAGGGAAGUUGUUGAUGGCACAAUGCUGGCAUGUUCAUGCUAGAAACAUGGUCUUCUUACAGUUUUUAACAUUAGCCAGAUAAGCUACUUACUAAAUAAUAGAAAAAUGGGAACAACCAAGAAUAGAGAUGAUGCUUUAAUUACCGAAAAAACAGAAUAAUGGGACAGUGCUCUUCCUUCAUAUCUUCACCAUAGGUUGAGUCCAAUUUAUUGUUUCCAUUUGUGGUGCUAGCCCAAACAGGAAAAACAUGGCAUUUGUGCUCUGUAAAAAAAAGUCAGGCUUAUUGUAUAACUUAGGACCAACUCCUGUAGUAGGCUUGUCAUCCUCUGGUUACUGAAAAAUAAACCGUAACAUCAGAGUGAGAAUCUGCAAGGAAUUUUAAUGAAUUAACAAGCUACUCGAUCGAUAACUCAGCAUUAAUGGUGGCAGAUACUCAUUUGCUCCACUGUACUGUACCACUGGAUGAAGAUGAGCUACUUCCUAAUCUGCUUGAGCUGCUAGCCGGGGAAUCCCUCUCAAUCUCCACUGACUGGUAAUUCACAGAUUCUUUUGCAACUACACAAUAGACUACAACAUGUUCAAGGAGCAAAGGUGUCACCAUGAAUAUACAUAUUAUCAUCAUGUGAUAUAUAUAUAUAUCAGUUAAGUUGUAGGCUUGUAACCAGAUCUUCAAUAUCCACAACGAUGUAUAGUUUAGGAUUAAAACAAUAACACAUGACAAAGGAGUUUAGGCUCUUGGUUGAUAAUCAAGAUUGAUGUUGAGUUGUUCUCCUUUCAGUCUGGUUUGUCUAUUGCCAUAGUGAUCUCGCAAAUCAAAUUGCGAAGAAUCCCGUGCUCGGUUACUUAUUUGCUCCUGUUAUUUUCUCUAUUCAUAAGAUGGACUCUGGCGCUUUGGCAAGUUGUCGAGUUCCACCAACGUGCAGGGAUCACUACAAUGUCAGGGAGCACUUGACUACUUAUUGUGGAAAUUACAGAAGCACAUGCGCUGCAGAACCAUUCCAUCGACACUGACACUGUGACACCCGCUGACUGCCAAUCCAAUUUGAUGUCACUUGCAGGCUUGCAGCGCACUGCGUACCAUGAUAAGAAGCCAGUUUCGACGGUCGGUUAUAUCUAGCUGACUGCCAAUCUAGUUUCGACGGUCAUGUUAUAAAACUCAAGCAGCACUACAUAAAAAUAUAUCAAGCAAUUAUAGAAUAGUUGAUGCUCCCUCCUAUCUGCAGAUUCUGAAUAGCUGAUAGGCUAAAGCUAAUGCUCCCUCCCGUCUGCUGAUAUCUACAAACAAAUAUCAGGCACAAUUAAGGUAAACAUACAGUUAUAACCGAAUAUGUGAAAUGAUAGAUACUAAUCAAAAUUUGAAAGAACGGUUCAACUUAUAAGAACUUUUUUGGUCAUAAACAAACAAUGUAAAUGUAAAUAAAAACAUUUUAAAAUAUCGCACAACUUAUAGAGGGCAUUUUAAGCAUUUGAAUUAACAAUAAUUCAAUAACCAACAAAAUUUUGAAUUUGUUUUGUCGGAAACCCUCCUUAAACAAGAGAGCACCCUCCAAAAAUUAGCAUAAUAUUCUUUAGUAUCUUAGAAAUCCAAUUUCGAUCCUAAUUCAAUUCGAUCCUUAAAUUUUAUAGUGUAAAAUCUAGAAUCCAUUACCACCCCUACUUGCAACUCUUGAUACUGUCCUAGCACCAGUAGCACCUCACUGAGUAAUAGACUAAUAGGCUAAUAGCUGCAAAGUACAUAAACCAAUCCACUCACCUGUACUAUCAACAUGUUCACCACUCGCCAUGCAAGCUUUAUUUUUCUUGUACACCUGAACACCACUCCCCGAUGGAUUUGGAAGGAUGGGAGGAUGGAGUGCGUAGAAGUUCCCAAUAGCAGCUGCUGCCGUUCUGAAGCACUCUUUCUCAUCAUCCCAGGUAACCUAUUUUAAGAUUGAAAUUACUAAAAGAAUCAGGGUUGCCAGAACGAGGACUGCAUCAUCCAAAAAAAUGCCACGAGGGAGGCUUAUCAGGGCUCAAACAAAGAAACAAGUUAAAUAAUAACUUAUGUUCAGAUACUUAUAUAGGAAAAGCUAAUUAAAUUUCAUUAGCUGAAACAGUUAUGCAAUGAAUCACUUGCCAUCUCGAUAGUGAGUGUAUAGUCUAGCACUCUAGUUCCACGAUCCAAUUUUAAAGUAGCACACAUAAUGAACUUGACUUAAUAAGAGAAAACCUACAUCAUUCCCCAUAGUCAAAACAAAAUUUGGGAGACGGUCCAUAUCAGGGGUGUACUGAUCAAGUACAACUGGAAGCCUGGUCAAGUUCCCAUCGUGAUCAACGUGAAUAGAGAAGUACUCAUUAAUCAUCUCAGCGUUUUCUUUCAGUAUUUUCGAGUUUGCCUGCAAAAUAUAGGUUAUGUUCGUUUAAAGAGCUAUGUAACAAGAAGUUUUGGCAGACUCAAACUGAAAUAAACAAACAUAAUAACAUAUAAAUAUAUACAUCACCUUAGGCACCUAUCACAUUAAUCAUGAUUUUGGGCAAUUCCAAAAAUAACUUACCUCUGCAAUCUCCAGUUUCUCCUCGUCAUUUUCAUCACCGAUUGAUUCAUAAUCUUUUAGUGCCAUCAGCAGCAGCUUCUGAAGAGGAGCUGGUUCACUAAGCUGGAUCGCAUUGAAGUUUCCAAAACGGCACAGAGCUUGCUGGUACAUGAGUUCUUUACUGCACCAUGAAUUCAAUAAUUAACAUACCACAUGAAAUUAAAUACUAAAAUGUCCCUGGAAAUAAAUAGUAUCAAUGCAAUAUGUCGAAGUGGCUGCAGUAGUUGCAAGCUUGCAGCAGGACAUUGUAUGCAGGUGGCAGCAGUGUGAUGAUCUGGCAUGGCACUAUGAAGCCCAUGGAGUCAGUCACUUCAUCUCCAGCUUAGACCAAAUUAACAACACCAUCGAGCAAUUUGCAUUCCAGCCAAGCACAAUUUUAUUAGUCACCCACACAAAUCCUGGACAGGGAACUGAAUCGAAAGGAAUUCGAGUUGUAGAGGAAACCACUCGCUGCUACUGCUAGAAAACAAGCAUGAUCAUGAAAAGUGAUAUGGACAAUUUCCAAAAUUAUGAGAAAGCCACUUACCCCUUUUGCUGCUGCAGACAUGAUGAGGUUUGGCCAGAGUUCACUUUUCAGAAGAAGUACCAAACUUGGCUUCCAGUAUCCAAAAAAACUAUCUAUUGCAGUAGGACAGUCAAGAGGAGCAAACUACACGCAUAAAAAAUGAGGUUGGAACUUUGGAAGGGAGAAAUAAACACGGCAUGCAAAAAUUGCACAUGAAGCUACUUCCAAUGUGGACUUCCGAAAUCCUUAAGGCAGCCAGUCCCAGCAUCUGGACAAACUACACUUUCCCUCCCAAUUUUUACUCAAAGUAUUACUAUUACAACCCAAUAGCAGCAGUUAGGUAAAUACCCAAUGAUCCUGUGAAUUUUAAGUGAUAUUACAAUUGUACUGUAUCAAUGUAUGGUUGAGUCAGGCAUGGUGAAGCAUUAACAGAUGAACAAAGCAACACCAAUUCGAAUUAUCAAAUAGCACUACGAAGAAAACGCACUGUUCAUCCCCACUAAACUAAAUCCAGCACAGCCACAGGGUUUGAAGCUUCAUGAGCAGUCUGCAAACGCA